RNAcentral lists this ribosomal RNA (205 nucleotides) under uncultured bacterium. RNAcentral's name for it is "partial 16S ribosomal RNA". It matches the Rfam family "Bacterial small subunit ribosomal RNA", at positions 568 to 772 of the family's 1533-position model. The record is from RNAcentral.
CACGUAGGCGGAUUUGUAAGUCAGGGGUGAAAUCCCGGGGCUCAACCUCGGAACUGCCUUUGAUACUGCAAGUCUCGAGUCCGAUAGAGGUGGGUGGAAUUCCUAGUGUAGAGGUGAAAUUCGUAGAUAUUAGGAAGAACACCGGUGGCGAAGGCGGCCCACUGGAUCGGUACUGACGCUGAGGUGCGAAAGCGUGGGGGAGAAC